This 68-nucleotide transfer RNA is filed under the name Marmota monax (woodchuck). Its description in RNAcentral is "tRNA.Ala". The record is from RNAcentral. Lineage: Eukaryota; Metazoa; Chordata; Mammalia; Rodentia; Sciuridae.
GGAUUGUGGCUCAGUGGUAGAGCGCUCGCCUAGCACAUGCCAGGCCCUGGGUUCGAUCCUCUGCACCA